ACGGUUAUAAAUCAACAUAUUGAUUUAUAAGCAUGGAAAUCCCCUGAGUGAAACAACGAAUUGCUGUGUGUAGUCUUUGCCCGUCUCCCACGAUGGGCUUUUUUUUUU
Molecule: non-coding RNA, 108 nt
Filed under: Salmonella enterica
Lineage: Bacteria; Pseudomonadati; Pseudomonadota; Gammaproteobacteria; Enterobacterales; Enterobacteriaceae
Also listed under: 3 other names
Description: antisense sRNA RprA
Rfam family: RprA RNA
About the family: Translational regulation of the stationary phase sigma factor RpoS is mediated by the formation of a double-stranded RNA stem-loop structure in the upstream region of the rpoS messenger RNA, occluding the translation initiation site. Clones carrying rprA (RpoS regulator RNA A) increased the translation of RpoS.
Source: RNAcentral